GCAUAUCAAUAAGCGGAGGAAAAGAAACCAACAGGGAUUGCCCUAGUAACGGCGAGUGAAGCGGCAACAGCUCAAAUUUGAAAUCUGGCUUCGGCCCGAGUUGUAAUUUGCAGAGGAAGCUUUAGGCGCGGCACCUUCUGAGUCCCCUGGAACGGGGCGCCAUAGAGGGUGAGAGCCCCGUAUAGUUGGAUGCCUAGCCUGUGUAAAGCUCCUUCGACGAGUCGAGUAGUUUGGGAAUGCUGCUCAAAAUGGGAGGUAAAUUUCUUCUAAAGCUAAAUACCGGCCAGAGACCGAUAGCGCACAAGUAGAGUGAUCGAAAGAUGAAAAGCACUUUGAAAAGAGGGUUAAAUAGCACGUGAAAUUGUUGAAAGGGAAGCGCUUGUGACCAGACUUGCGCCGGGCUGAUCAUCCGGUGUUCUCACCGGUGCACUCUGCCCGGCUCAGGCCAGCAUCGGUUCUCGCGGGGGGAUAAAGGUUCCGGGAACGUAGCUCCUCCGGGAGUGUUAUAGCCCGGGGCGUAAUGCCCUCGCGGGGACCGAGGUUCGCGCAUCUGCAAGGAUG
Molecule: ribosomal RNA, 561 nt
Filed under: Botryoderma rostratum
Lineage: Eukaryota; Fungi; Ascomycota
Description: partial 28S ribosomal RNA
Rfam family: Eukaryotic large subunit ribosomal RNA
Source: RNAcentral